AUUGAACGCUGGCGGCAGGCCUAACACAUGCAAGUCGAGCGGAAGAAGGGAGCUUGCUCCUGGAUUCAGCGGCGGACGGGUGAGUAAUGCCUAGGAAUCUGCCUGGUAGUGGGGGAUAACGUUCGGAACUGGGCGCUAAUACCGCAUACGCCCUGAGGGGCAAAGUGGGGGAUCUUCGGACUUCACGCUAUUAGAUGAGCCUAGGUCGGAUUAGCUAGUUGGUGGGGUAAAGGCCUACCAAGGCGACGAUCCGUAACUGGUCUGAGAGGAUGAUCAGUCACACUGGAACUGAGACACGGUCCAGACUCCUACGGGAGGCAGCAGUGGGGAAUAUUGGACAAUGGGCGAAAGCCUGAUCCAGCCAUGCCGCGUGUGUGAAGAAGGUCUUCGGAUUGUAAAGCACUUUAAGUUGGGAGGAAGGGCAGUAAGUUAAUACCUUGCUGUUUUGACGUUACCAGCAGAAUAAGCACCGGCUAACUUCGUG
This 484-nucleotide ribosomal RNA is filed under the name uncultured bacterium. Its description in RNAcentral is "partial 16S ribosomal RNA". It matches the Rfam family "Bacterial small subunit ribosomal RNA", at positions 30 to 507 of the family's 1533-position model. The record is from RNAcentral.